RNAcentral lists this ribosomal RNA (415 nucleotides) under uncultured prokaryote. RNAcentral's name for it is "bacterial SSU rRNA". It matches the Rfam family "Bacterial small subunit ribosomal RNA", at positions 505 to 918 of the family's 1533-position model. The record is from RNAcentral.
GUGCCAGCCGCCGCGGUAAUACGGAGGAUGCAAGCGUUAUCCGGAAUUAUUGGGCGUAAAGCGUCCGCAGGUGGUUAAUCAAGUCUGCUGUUAAAGGGCCAGGCUUAACCUUGUAAAGGCAGUGGAAACUGGUUGACUAGAGUACGGUAGGGGCAGAGGGAAUUCCCAGUGUAGCGGUGAAGUGCGUAGACAUUGGGAAGAACACCAGUGGCGAAGGCGCGCUGCUGGGCCGAGACUGACACUGAGGGGCGAAAGCGAGGGGAGCGAAAGGGAUUAGAUACCCCUGUAGUCCUAGCUGUAAACGAUGGACACUAGGCGUUGGACGUAUCGACCCGUUCAGUGCCGUAGCUAACGCGUUAAGUGUCCCGCCUGGGGAGUACGCACGCAAGUGUGAAACUUAAAUGAAUUGACGGGG